UAGGGAAUCUUCGGCAAUGGACGGAAGUCUGACCGAGCAACGCCGCGUGUGUGAAGAAGGUUUUCGGAUCGUAAAGCUCUGUUGUAAGAGAAGAACGAGUGUGAGAGUGGAAAGUUCACGCUGUGACGGUAUCUUACCAGAAAGGGACGGCUAACUACGUGCCAGCAGCCGCGGUAAUACGUAGGUCCCGAGCGUUGUCCGGAUUUAUUGGGCGUAAAGCGAGCGCAGGCGGUUAGAUAAGUCUGAAGUUAAAGGCUGUGGCUUAACCAUAGUACGCUUUGGAAACUGUUUAACUUGAGUGCAAGAGGGGAGAGUGGAAUUCCAUGUGUAGCGGUGAAAUGCGUAGAUAUAUGGAGGAACACCGGUGGCGAAAGCGGCUCUCUGGCUUGUAACUGACGCUGAGGCUCGAAAGCGUGGGGAGCAAACAGGAUUAGAUACCCUGGUAGUCCACGCCGUAAACGAUGAGUGCUAGGUGUUAGACCCUUUCCGGGGUUUAGUGCCGCAGCUAACGCAUUAAGCACUCCGCCUGGGGAGUACGACCGCAAGGUUG
RNAcentral lists this ribosomal RNA (550 nucleotides) under uncultured bacterium. RNAcentral's name for it is "bacterial SSU rRNA". It matches the Rfam family "Bacterial small subunit ribosomal RNA", at positions 355 to 896 of the family's 1533-position model. The record is from RNAcentral.